UGCCAGCCCUCAGGGAAGCCCUGC
Molecule: non-coding RNA, 24 nt
Filed under: Rattus norvegicus (Norway rat)
Lineage: Eukaryota; Metazoa; Chordata; Mammalia; Rodentia; Muridae
Source: RNAcentral